AGAGUUUGAUCAUGGCUCAGGAUGAACGCUGGCGGCGUGCUUAACACAUGCAAGUCGAACGGAGAUAUUUAAAAUGAGAGCUUCGGCAGGAAUUUUAAUUAUCUUAGUGGCGGACGGGUGAGUAACGUGUGGGCAACCUGCCUCAUACCGGGGAAUAAUCAUUGGAAACGAUGACUAAUACCGCAUGUCACCUUGGGAGGGCAUCCUCUUGAGGGAAAAGGAGAAAUUCGGUAUGAGAUGGGCCCGCAUCUGAUUAGCUUGUUGGUGAGAUAACAGCCCACCAAGGCGACGAUCAGUAGCCGACCUGAGAGGGUAAUCGGCCACAUUGGGAUUUAGACACGGCCCAAACUCCUACGGGAGGCAGCAGUGGGGAAUAUUGCACAAUGGGGGAAACCCUGAUGCAGCAACGCCGCGUGAAGGAAGAAGGUUUUCGGAUUGUAAACUUCUAUCAACAGGGACGAAUUAAGUGACGGUACCUGAAUAAGAAGCCCCGGCUAACUACGUGCCAGCAGCCGCGGUAAUACGUAGGGGGCAAGCGUUAUCCGGAAUUACUGGGUGUAAAGGGAGCGCAGGCGGCAUGGUAAGCCAGAUGUGAAAGCCCGAGGCUUAACUUCGAGGAUUGCAUUUGGAACUAUCAAGCUAGAGUACAGGAGAGGAAAGCGGAAUUCCUAGUGUAGCGGUGAAAUGCGUAGAUAUUAGGAAGAACACCGGUGGCGAAAGCGGCUUUCUGGACUGAAACUGACGCUGAGGCUCGAAAGCGUGGGGAGCAAACAGGAUUAGAUACCCUGGUAGUCCACGCU
Molecule: ribosomal RNA, 800 nt
Filed under: uncultured bacterium
Lineage: Bacteria
Description: bacterial SSU rRNA
Rfam family: Bacterial small subunit ribosomal RNA
Source: RNAcentral